CCUACGGGUGGCUGCAGUGGGGAAUAUUUGACAAUGGGGGGAACCCUGAUCCAGCCAUGCCGCGUGUGUGAAGAAGGCCCUCGGGUUGUAAAGCACUUUCAGUGAGGAAGAACGCCUGGUGGUUAAUACCCAUCAGGAAAGACAUCACUCACAGAAGAAGCACCGGCUAACUCCGUGCCAGCAGCCGCGGUAAUACGGAGGGUGCGAGCGUUAAUCGGAAUUACUGGGCGUAAAGCGCGCGUAGGUGGCUUGAUAAGCCGGUUGUGAAAGCCCCGGGCUCAACCUGGGAACGGCAUCCGGAACUGUCAAGCUAGAGUGCAGGAGAGGAAGGUAGAAUUCCCGGUGUAGCGGUGAAAUGCGUAGAGAUCGGGAGGAAUACCAGUGGCGAAGGCGGCCUUCUGGACUGACACUGACACUGAGGUGCGAAAGCGUGGGUAGCAAACAGGAUUAGAUACCCCGGUAGUC
Molecule: ribosomal RNA, 465 nt
Filed under: Vreelandella stevensii
Lineage: Bacteria; Pseudomonadati; Pseudomonadota; Gammaproteobacteria; Oceanospirillales; Halomonadaceae
Description: partial 16S ribosomal RNA
Rfam family: Bacterial small subunit ribosomal RNA
Source: RNAcentral